Molecule: long non-coding RNA, 445 nt
Organism: Lepus europaeus (European hare)
Lineage: Eukaryota; Metazoa; Chordata; Mammalia; Lagomorpha; Leporidae
Exons: 2
Source: RefSeq, a predicted model, not a curated record
GUAGCUCCCUACUCUCCUACUCUGGCAAUCAAGAAAUGCCCUUUUUAUAAACAUAUUCAUUUACUGUCUUGGCAGCUGAGAAAGGUUGAUAUGCACAAAGGGAAAGUGGAGGCAUAUCUGAAAAUUUGUAAAACUGUAAGAGUUGGUAGAGUAGAAAUCAUUAAUCCUAAUGUAGUGAACUUCAGAAUACCAGCUAACAGUGACUCUUCCGAGAGGUGUUUGCUGAAUGAAGCUCCCACAGGAGGGGCAGCAGAAGAGACAAAACAAGGAAGCUGAAGAAGCUUCUAAGAACACAGAAGACGUUCAGGCAAGCUGACUCACUUCCCUUCUGAUGUCUGCCACGAGUUAAAUCAGCACAAGACCCUGGCCAAGUGCAGCCACCCAAUCUUGGACUUCUCAGCCUCUAGAACCAUGAUCCAAAUAAACCUCUUGUCUUUAUAAAUUA